AGGCACUCCUCCCCAUGCAGAAUGCUCAAAGGGGAGGACCAUUGGCAAAUUGCCAAAAGAAAAAAAAAAAAAAGCCUUAGGAUGGUUGGCAUGGAAUGGGACCGUUAAUCCCUGCCCUUGCACAGACAAACCUCAUGCAGGCCUUGCAUUUAAGACAUCUCCACCCUCCUGUCUCUGUUUGCAGCUGCCUUCCAGCUUGCAGGACUGAUGCGGUGCAGCAGGCUGCCCUCCAGACCCACCACGACCAACCUCACUCUGCCCAGCUGACCACCCAGGAAUGACUGAAAGAACAGAAACACCGGACUGCUGACCUGCCCAGAGAAAUGACCACCCUUGGCUCAUCUCUAGCAAUCACUCGGAGAUCUCAAGACACUUCACAAUAAGGCUUGGCACACACGCUGACCUGGACCCCAUUGAUAGGGCCAUGCCCUUGAAAGCUACACCACGUGUCAAGGUGCACUCCACCACGGUACGUAAGAUGAAGCUGGAAUGUCUUCCCAUCACAGAGGGCACAUUCUGGCACCACACCGUCGUCAGACAGCUUCUGAACGUAAGUAGAAAUUCCCUGUGCGGGGGCAUUCAUCUGAACACUGACCUACUGGGAUAGUCCUACGGAAGUCAGUGCACGGUGAGGCUGGUUGAAUUCAUAAAUAUUUAAUCUUUCAAAUGAAAAGGAUCUCGUUGCAGUGGCAGCAGAAUUGGGAGGUAAAAAGAAGUAGGCUGCUUCGAGAAAGCACGAUGGGUAGUUCUGCAGAUGAACGUGCUCCUGAUCUCUUGUAUCCGUUAGAAGUGAUGCUAUUGGAUGCCAAGCGUUUAUUUCAGUGCAGCACUAGAAAGAACUCAAAAUCAGUCCUUCUAGCCUAAAACUAUAUCACAGGGCAACAACAAGAGGGAAAACUCUAAGCAGAUCUGGCUAUCUUGAUGCCAUUUCAUUCCCUACCCUUCCAGCAACCGCUUCUUUGUGUGUAUCAUUAGACAUUUAUUCCAUGGUAUGUGUGUUCCCCUUGGCCCAGCACUGCAAGAAAAGUCUAGGGAAUUCAGUAACCCAAGCCGAAAGAUCAAUUUAAUCAUGUUUCAGAUUGAAAAGGCAGAACAAGGUCAAAGUUACUUUCUAUUUUCAUUAGGAUAUUUGCACUUAAGCACAAAACUACUGACAAAUUUCCUACAAAGACUUUACUUGAAGAAAUAGAAGCCAAUUCCUGCUGCACUGCAAGUAAAAUAAAAAUAUAUUAAAAAGGCCCUAAAUGGUGUUGAACUUGUGGUAUUUAUGACUCUGGUCCUAAAUUGCCUUUCAUAUUUUCUUGGAUCCCAAAGCCGUAGCCAAAUUGGCUGGUUAAAUGUGAAUAAAUGGUGCAUUGUCUUUGAAACAAAGUCGUGCUUAUUAAAGAGAAAAGAGUUUACUUUUUCAGAAUCAGUUAAUGACACAAAGCAGGGAGAGCAUGGAUUUUACACACACACAGAAGUCUUCGAUAAGGGCAUGCAAUCUCAUUUUGGUCUGGAUGAGAAGAGCUAUCCUAGAGCAGAAAAAUUCUUCAACAUAUUUGCGAAGCUGGAGCAAAAUAGCUGACUGCAAAAGAACGCAACUGGGUUCAGACCGGUGGUUUUGAUAGGUCUGCAGCAAUGGUAGGAAAUCCUUCCCCCAGAUCUGGAAUGUUGUUUUGUUCACCUGACAGCAAUUUAUUCUAACUGUACAUACUAGAAUUUUGGCCAUUAGUAACUGAGCUUACAUAUGGUUCUGUAGUUACUAUAGCACAACGAGUGGUGACCGCAUUCCUGGUUUUGUCACGUUCGUAAGCAAAACAAACACUAACAUAAUCAGCAAUUAAAAAAGCAUGAGUUGGUGUGCAAAUAGCUGCAAUUAUUGAUUUGCCAAUUCUGCAUGCUCGGAUGAACAGCCGAGUAGUGGAGUUAAACAGAAGCACAUUCAUGGAUUGCAUAACUGCUCAUAGAUCUGCAAGUCCUUGUUAAAUGGUAAGGUUAAAGCUAAUUAGACACUGAAAUGUAGAAGUACAAAGCAAGCAAUGCUGUCUGUAUUUUUCCUGUUUUCUUAAUAGCAGCUGCAAGUACAGUAUUUGCAGGCUGGAAGUGAGAAGUGAAAAAUCUCUGUGCAGUCAAGUAGAGCAAAAACUCCUGCCUGGUUCUUUAUUUUGCAAUAUACCAAACAGAUUCAGAGAGCACCAUCCUGCACCACUCCAAAUAAUGCAGUCAAAUUGGCUUCACUGUUAGUACCUAUGCGAUCUUCUGUACCUACUAAGGGCACAUAAAUAUCCACAGUAUAUGAAACCCCUACCCUAACAGCUGGGGCCCAAGGGUACCCAUGCUGUUGUGAUAUAAAAAUCAGAAACAUCUACAGUUUUGAGUUCCUCUGUAAUGUUAAAAGUACUAAUUUGUGAUCAAAAUAAGAAAAGUAACUUGAAAAUGUAGUUUUGCUUUACACGGAUCACCAGAAUAACUUCUUUUUCCUCUAGGAGCACUACAACUCUCAAUCCAAGCAGCUCAAGAGGUAGAUUUUUCUUUUCUUACGAUCUUUCAUUUUCAGUAUCUAAGGGCUUUCUUGAGAGGAGUGGUGGCUGACUGUCACAAUUACUGGAAUGGAGGCUGUUAUAUCCCCAUCAUGGAGCUUUGCAGACACCUCCACCCCAGCUGUUUUCUGGUCCAGCAAAUCUUCAUUCAUCAUCCUCCCACAUUUUAUUUUACAAAUGCACAGCAACAGCCUGAUCCUGCCAAAUCAGAGGCAUGUGAGCAACUCUUUGAACAUAAGCCGUCCCAUUAAGACGGCACACACGCCCAGGCAACAGCAGGUAAGGCUGUGAAGUUGGAUCCGCAGUCAGUGGUUGUUAGAGGAUUUGGGAUUUUAUUUUCAUAAUUAAUCUCUCACACCCUACCCACUGUACUCUGUUGAGAUGGAGUCAUUGUUCUUGGGGAUGGUUUUGGCAUGCUUGAGAGUAAAAAGCAGUUUUCAAUAAGCUGAAAUAGCCUAAGAACUUGAGGAAGAAAAGAAGGGUAUGCUAAGUUAUUGCAAAGUGUCUCUACUGGGAAGAAGUCUCUGAAUUGUCACUAAUCCAUUGGCAGAUAAGUUUUCCCCAUGGAAAGAUUAGUGUUGCAGUUUUUAUUCUGCAUAGCAGUCAAUUAACUGCAUUGACUCCAUCUACAAAAGCCUUUUAUAUGUUAGGAAAAAAAAUCUGAAAGAUCCCCGGGGAUGAACUUUCAUCGUCCUUUAAAAACUUCCCCCACCAUCACUUAUGCUCUAAACUUUGUGUUUUAGAGAGGCUUUCUAUGGCUAAGGGACAGAAAUAAAUAAAAUAAACCUGAAUAAUAGUCACAAACCUACACAAAUCCUACCCUGCAGUCAGCUGCUUGCCAGGCACCGUGUCAGGCUAACCAGAACCUAUGGUCCUGCGUGACAAACCACCAAACCAACCCUGCCCCAUGCACACCCCAAAACCCAGCUCCACCACGGGGCAGGGACCCGCAGCCUUCCCCAGCCCAUGUCCCCACACCAACUCCCGGGACAGGCGCCUGUACCCUGUCCUAACAAACUGUUCACGCCUGUACCCUGUCCUAACAAACCCUUCCCUCUCUCUUUUUUCAGCGGGGGCUCCAGCAGACGUGGCUGCACGGCCAGGCCCGGAGGAAUGCGGGAUGCAGGCGCGCAGCCGGGAGCCGAUGCUGGAGGCAGCCUGCACGUACCGGGCAGCGCGGUGCCAGCACGCUGCGUGCUGAAGGAAGGCGGCGAAGACCUGGCUUUACUCUCCGAGUCCAGACUGUGAGAAAUCUGGGGCAGGCCCACUCAAAGGUCUCAGCCUGGUGGAGCUUUAUUUGCAGCAGGUAGGUUUCCCUGGGAAGCUGCUGACAUCCAGCUGGUCACCUCCUCUUGACGCCCAGCACAGAGCAGAACAGACUGUGGCUGUUUGUGCUACACUAGUAGCAAUAUUAAUGAACACAAUGUUUGUUAUGGCAGCUGAUGAAAGCGUGAGGCAUCUGGUAUGGCACCUGGUGUUGAAGACUUGCAUGACCAAGCCCUGAAGACAACAAAGUCUUUGGAGAUAGGUUUGGUUCCAAAAGAUCCUUCACUCCACUAUCCUGAGGGAUCAGGUCACACUUAAUGGUGGUAGGUGACCUUGCUAGCUAAUAAAGCUGGAUUUGUUUAGGCUUAUUCUGCACAAGUCAAAAGGAAAGGCCAAGGAUGCCCAAAUCCAGCCUUCACUGACAUGAGGGGCCCUACUCAGAGACUCAGAGAGACUGAAGUGAUUUGUAUGCACUGAGCUGUGUAGAAGAAUGUCACUGAUUUAUAAAUGUCAAACAGGCUCCAAGCAGCCCACACACGAACCUCAGUGAAUUCUUACCUCUGACCCACUCAUUGGCUCCAGCAGCCGCACAGGCUGAUUUAGAGCCCCUUACUGUAAGAGCUUUAACAUCUCACACAGGCUGUGGCUGAUCCGAAUAUGUCAAAGGGGACUGAAGGUCAAAAUUUCCAUAAAUUAGGCCUUGGAUUGUUACCUAUCACAUAAUAGGAUUCUCUGGCUGUGAACUACAGACAUUCAGCACAGCAGUUCCCCUGCAGCCCUGUUCCCCAGCCCCUCUCCUGAACUGGUGAGGCUGUAUGUCCAAGGAGAAGGAGCGUCUUCAAAGCUGCUUUCCUCCAAGGAAAAAAAAACAGAGCAGGACAAAGGACUGGGACUCUAGGCAAGGAACAUGACCCCAGGCCCAGUCCUGAAAUGGGUGAGUGUUUCCACAUGAAGAAAUUUCUGAGCUUUUUGAGGAGCUGCAGGGGCUCGGUGCUUCUCAGGACCAGAGAGAGACCCGCUGUGUGCCAAACAGACGAUACCGCACGUGGCAUUGACAGCUUUUCUCAGGGCAGAGUAGGAGAGCUAAUAAUGACUGGUCAGAUGGGAAAGCCAGAAAAGAAAGACCACAUGGAGGAAUACAAGCUGCUAAGAUGUCUAAUGUGCUUUCCUUUGGUUACUCUUCCAUUCAGAGUGAGAACUAGGUCGCUUUCUGCUGGUAUCCACCCCAUUUAGCACACUUAUAAAGCUUGGAAGGACAGCCACAGCUCUCAAAUUGCCUGCUGAGACAUGGCACGUUGAAAACAGGGCAUGACACAGUAACACGUGAUGGACAGUGGGGGAGAUGGCUUCACUGGUCUCCUAGCUCUGUUUCCUACAGCUCUAAAUCAGCGUGAGGAACUCUGGCACUGCCAGGAGGGGCACAGCAGGACUUUCUGCCCCUGGAGGCUGAAACUGCACAGCAAGAGUAGCAUGGUCCCUUCAGGCAUUCAGCUUUCAGAAAGACCAAAGGUGUGGUAUUUAUAAAGGCUCCAAAAUUGGCAGCAAGAGAAAGGCAAAUAUUCUGCUGAACUGGAGACCGCCCCAGCACAGACAGCUGCAGCCCAGCCUCUCCUCAGUCUCCCUGCCAGUUCUCUCAAGCAUGACCUGGUUUGAGGACCACCUUCAAUGAGAUCAAAAGGAGAAAAGAGGAGAUGGCAAGCAUGAGAAGAGGUGUGGAUGGAGGAAGUCAAAGCAUCAAGAAAGCUAGUCCCAUCCCUUUACAGAGAGACAUCCUGAAGGAACUCCUCCUGUAGUCAGCAUUCCUCCAGUGGCAAUUACUGAUAUCUGAGGAAACUAACCUGUGGCAUACUGUCACUGCAGCAGUAUCUUGCUGGGAGAAAAAUUUGGGUUGUCUCCUGGACUGAUCGGACUGUGGCUUCUCUGUCCUACAUAGACAAGGAUAAAGAACAGCCCCAAGGUGCUCUAGGAGAGACAGUGAGAUCUGCGGGUGGGAUAUGGAGGACUGAGGUCUCCCACCUGCUCUGCCAAGCAUGUGCUCUCCCACUUCAGGUGCACUGCGAGUUGAUUAACUGUUGCAGGAGACGAAAACUGAAGCAUUCCCACCAGCCACUGUCUGAGAAAAAGGAAGACAAGAUCUGUGCCAUACAACGAUAUUUACAAACUAAAUCACCAGAAGAACAGUUUUAUCUGUAAACGCGAGUCACCACUAGAUGUACUGUAUAGCAGCAGCUGGACCAAGUACUGUAGGGCUUAUUUGAUGAGGACUGCGCACUGCCUGAGCAGGCUCAGAAUCCCAGAGUCAUGCUCAAACUCUGGAAUUAAAGGAAUUGAAUUCAGGAAUUAAAGGAACUGAUUCACUCUGACAGGGCUGGGAAUCUGUCUUGUCGAACUUAAGAGCAGCUAGACCUGCCAGUAAAACAGCAGUACUGAAGGACGAGAUGAAUGUGCUUGUUCUAAAGACCUCCCAGCCAGAUGCUACCCCUGCUAUAUUUCAUACAGCUUUCUGCAGGCAGAGAGUUACCACUGAAACCCGAGCCAACUGAUAACAAAAGCAGUGUGGACUUUUCUGCUGGAGUUGGACCCUGCAGCACCCUGGUACACUAACCUGACAGCAUCUGGACCCAAACUCUGCUCAGGAGCAGAGAGCUUGUGUGGUGGAGGAGCAGAGAAAGCUGUGCAGAUUGCUACCAGGGCCAAUGGCAUGAAGAAAAAUUGCUGUCUAACUGAUCCUUUGUGGACUUCCGACUGAAACCACCCAGUGCAGCAUAUGAUUCCUACGUGCCUUUUUGGUCUUUUCAGCAAGCAAGCUAAUGGAAACAAUUCUGUAUCUUCAAUGCAGGAUGAUGAGAUUUCAGAGCUCCCCUGACUAGUCACAAGAGAGAAUUGAUACAGCUCUACAGCAGCCAAAUGCCAGCACAUCUCUGCAUCUCAGUUUUACCAUUAACCUCAGGUACAGCCACGAUUUAGAGUUGUCCACCUGCCUGCCUGCCUCGCUGGAGGAGGCAUCAGCCCGCUGACCCCGGGACCUGCUGAGACGAUGGUACCGAUUCAGCUAUUGACAGCUUCAGUGACUCGUCUCUUCCUCUGCCAUGGAAAUGAACCCAUGUGGUAGCAAUGAUAGGAAAUUACUCAGAGGAAAGGAAAAAAGCUCAGCGUAAGCCAGGGCAAAAAGUCUAGAAUAAACACAGCCCCGGCCUAGCACCGUACAGCUGUCAAGUCGCAUUGCACAGGAGGCUUCCUCUUGCACCAGGAACCCUGCUGGCCUAAGUGUUGUGGAAACAAAGGUAAAAUAACAAUAACUAAAACCAGUCUCUGCCUUAAGGAGCUGGCAGCACCUCCCUUAUUUCUUUCAACUGCUGUAAAUAAAUCCUUGGUCAUGGCACUGUUUUCCAGAGGACGAUAAAAGGAACUGUUGUCACCCCCUGACACCGACUUUUCCUGCCAUUCACUAAGUCUUCCCCUCCUUCUUUUAAUCUUAAUUUUGUUAAAAAUCAGAUCUCAUCUGAUGACUGCUCAUUACCUUAGAGGCUGUUGGUAGCGGGGGGACCGAAGGCUACACUCCUGCACAGGGCUGCGGGAGGAAGGUUGGCCUGGCCAGUGUCACUGCCAUAA
Molecule: long non-coding RNA, 7400 nt
Organism: Oxyura jamaicensis (ruddy duck)
Lineage: Eukaryota; Metazoa; Chordata; Aves; Anseriformes; Anatidae
Exons: 17
Source: RefSeq, a predicted model, not a curated record